AAUAUUAAAUAGCCGCGGAAAUUUAACCGUGCUAAGGUAGCAUAAUCAUUAGCCUCUUAAUUAGAGGCUUGUAUGAAUGGUGAAACAUUUCAAUUUCUCUUUUAAUUAAUUUAUUUAAAAUUAAACUAAAGGUAAAAAUGCCUUUAUUUUUUAAAUAGACGAUAAGACCCUUUUGAACUUUACUUCAGUUUAGCUGGGGCAGCUAAAUAAUAAUAAUCUUAUUUUUUAAAAUUCCAUAAAUGACCCAAUAUAAUUGAUUAUAUGAACAAGUUACCAUAGGGAUAACAGCGUAAUAUUUUUCUAAAGCUCUUAUUUAAAAAAAGGAUUACGACCUCGAUGUUGAAUUAAUGUUACUUUUAAAUGCAGAAAUUUAAAAAGUAGGUCUGUUCGACCUUUAAAACAUUACAUGAUCUGA
RNAcentral lists this ribosomal RNA (415 nucleotides) under Arachnura feredayi. RNAcentral's name for it is "partial large subunit ribosomal RNA". It matches the Rfam family "Bacterial large subunit ribosomal RNA", at positions 1919 to 2608 of the family's 2925-position model. Lineage: Eukaryota; Metazoa; Arthropoda; Arachnida; Araneae; Araneidae. The record is from RNAcentral.